This 1434-nucleotide ribosomal RNA is filed under the name uncultured organism. Its description in RNAcentral is "SSU rRNA". It matches the Rfam family "Bacterial small subunit ribosomal RNA". The record is from RNAcentral.
ACAUGCAAGUCGAGGGGCAGCAUGGUCUUAGCUUGCUAAGGCCGAUGGCGACCGGCGCACGGGUGAGUAACACGUAUCCAACCUGCCGUCUACUCUUGGACAGCCUUCUGAAAGGAAGAUUAAUACAAGAUGGCAUCAUGAGUCCGCAUGUUCACAUGAUUAAAGGUAUUCCGGUAGACGAUGGGGAUGCGUUCCAUUAGAUAGUAGGCGGGGUAACGGCCCACCUAGUCUUCGAUGGAUAGGGGUUCUGAGAGGAAGGUCCCCCACAUUGGAACUGAGACACGGUCCAAACUCCUACGGAAGGCAGCAGUGAGGAAUAUUGGCCAAUGGGCGAGAGCCUGAACCAGCCAAGUAGCGUGAAGGAUGACUGCCCUAUGGGUUGUAAACUUCUUUUAUAAAGGAAUAAAGUCGGGUAUGCAUACCCGUUUGCAUGUACUUUAUGAAUAAGGAUCGGCUAACUCCGUGCCAGCAGCCGCGGUAAUACGGAGGAUCCGAGCGUUAUCCGGAUUUAUUGGGUUUAAAGGGAGCGUAGAUGGAUGUUUAAGUCAGUUGUGAAAGUUUGCGGCUCAACCGUAAAAUUGCAGUUGAUACUGGAUAUCUUGAGUGCAGUUGAGGCAGGCGGAAUUCGUGGUGUAGCGGUGAAAUGCUUAGAUAUCACGAAGAACUCCGAUUGCGAAGGCAGCCUGCUAAGCUGCAACUGACAUUGAGGCUCGAAAGUGUGGGUAUCAAACAGGAUUAGAUACCCUGGUAGUCCACACGGUAAACGAUGAAUACUCGCUGUUUGCGAUAUACAGCAAGCGGCCAAGCGAAAGCGUUAAGUAUUCCACCUGGGGAGUACGCCGGCAACGGUGAAACUCAAAGGAAUUGACGGGGGCCCGCACAAGCGGAGGAACAUGUGGUUUAAUUCGAUGAUACGCGAGGAGCCUUACCCGGGCUUAAAUUGCAGAUGAAUUACGGUGAAAGCUGUAAGCCGCAAGGCAUCUGUGAAGGUGCUGCAUGGUUGUCGUCAGCUCGUGCCGUGAGGUGUCGGCUUAAGUGCCAUAACGAGCGCAACCCUUGUUGUCAGUUACUAACAGGUUCCGCUGAGGACUCUGACAAGACUGCCAUCGUAAGAUGUGAGGAAGGUGGGGAUGACGUCAAAUCAGCACGGCCCUUACGUCCGGGGCUACACACGUGUUACAAUGGGGGGUACAGAGGGCCGCUACCACGCGAGUGGAUGCCAAUCCCCAAAACCUCUCUCAGUUCGGACUGGAGUCUGCAACCCGACUCCACGAAGCUGGAUUCGCUAGUAAUCGCGCAUCAGCCACGGCGCGGUGAAUACGUUCCCGGGCCUUGUACACACCGCCCGUCAAGCCAUGGGAGCCGGGGGUACCUGAAGUGCGUAACCGCGAGGAGCGCCCUAGGGUAAAACUGGUGACUGGGGCUAAGUCAUAA